This 239-nucleotide ribosomal RNA is filed under the name uncultured bacterium. RNAcentral describes it as "partial 16S ribosomal RNA". It matches the Rfam family "Bacterial small subunit ribosomal RNA", at positions 15 to 235 of the family's 1533-position model. The record is from RNAcentral.
GAUCCUGGCUCAGGAUGAACGCUGGCGGCGUGCUUAACACAUGCAAGUCGAACGAAGCGCUUAAAUUUGAUUCUUCGGAUGAAGAUUUUUGUGACUGAGUGGCGGACGGGUGAGUAACGCGUGGGUAACCUGCCUCAUACAGGGGGAUAACAGUUAGAAAUGACUGCUAAUACCGCAUAAGCGCACGGUGUCGCAUGACACAGUGUGAAAAACUACCGGUGGUAUGAGAUGGACCCGCG